GGAUAUAUAUGGCUGUAAUAAGCUGACAUCCUUACAUAGGGAUGUCGCAUCCAUGUCAAGGGCUUCCUCCAUAGUAUUUGGUUCAGCCAUGGAAGGAGGGUUAACCUCUAAGGUGCAAGGCCUGGCUCCUUGUGUGAGGCAUCACACUUGUCCUUGUCGAGGUUGUUUUACUUCCUUGCAAGGGGUGGCUUUUUCGUGUAAGGACUUCCUCCAUACGUUUGAUCCGGUUAUGGAAGCUUUGUCUUUAUAGAUAUUAAAGUGGGUCCACCCAUCUCCUUAUGAAGCGAUAAAUGACAUCCUUGCAUGGUGGAUGAUUUAUCCAUGCAGGAGAUAAUAUAAACUCUCUGAAGAUAAGGAGAUGUGAUAUAACUGAAACAGAAGCAAAACUCUAAAAAAUAGGUAGUUGUAAUGCAAGCAAGGAAUGAAUGUCGAGCCGAUGGAUCGUCUCGAACUAUCAAAGUCUUAUAAGCAAGCUUCGAGAUGACAAGGUCUUAAUAUUAAGCUAGACGAUACUGAGAAGUGAGAAAUAACUAUCUCGCGAAGUGAGGAAUAAGCAUCUCGCAAAGUGGGUAAUAAAUAUCCCGUUAAAUUAUCGAACUAUCGGAGUCUCAUAAGACGCCUUGGACAGAUGAGGUGUCACGACUCGUCCCAAAACGCUCUACUGGACCUGACACAUGUCAUGUGCCAAUAGUAGAUACUAGUUAAGUGUGACCUACCACAAUGACAAUCUUGACUUGCUUUGAGUAUGACGAAUUUUUAAAAUAAUUUUGACAAAACUUCUUUUAAAAUAUGGACUAAAAUCAUCUGAACAGAAAUCAAUUUUCUCAAACCUGUUCAUACAAUUUUAAAUAAGGCACACUAUUCCCUCAAAAUACAAAUAUUGAAAAUAAAAUGCUGGCAAAUCGAUAUUUACUAUACUUUACAAACAAAAGUCCCCUAAAGCACUAAGGAUACCAAAUGUACAAUGAGCCCAUGAUAUGUAUACAUGAUUUGCUAAUUAACUUUUCCAACAAAACAUACAUGUAUUCCAAAAGAAAUAUGAACUAUGUAGACUGUCAAAAUGAGUCAUACAACUAAUGACAAUGUGUGUGGCUCAACUCGAUAGAUUGACAGGUUCCAAUGAUGCUCAACUCAACGACUAUCUGAUAAGAAAAAGGGUAACAAAGUAUGAGUUUGUAGCUCAAUGAGUAAAUAGUUUGCACAUAAGUAUAUUUUUCAGUUUAUGCAUAUUUUCUAAAAAUUCUUACUCUAUUAAACUUUGAAAAAUUCUGAAAUCUGAUAAUACUUAUUAAAACUAAAACAUGAUUGUAUUGUAAAAUCCAUUAUUCUUUAUUCUAGAUAAGUAACUAUAAGGUAUAAUGGAUAUAAAUAAUCUGAUAUCAGUAGAUAUGAGUAGUAUUCUAAAAGGCGUAAUACUUGACGAUGCGUGGAGACUAAGCUAUAGGCUAAGCGAGCUUACGCGAGGCAUAGGUGUAAAAAGCAUAAAAUGUGUUUUCUUAUUUUAAUUUUUAAUCAAUCGAAAAAUCGUUUAAUAAUUAAGAAUAAUACUUGCCAAACAUUUAAAACAAAUUUAUAGAAAAUUUAUACAUUUUUUUCAAAGUUUUCAACAAAAUGAUAAGUUCCAAAUAUAAAUAUUAAAUAGUAAAUAAAUAGAAAAUUUUGGAAAAUUUUCUUUGUUCAAGGCUUUAAGCGACUAUUUUGAAUUUGGAACUGAUAAAGUGAAAAAAUCAACAUUCAAGUUUUAAUUUCGAAGAAUUGUUAAAAAAAAUUAAAAAAAGUUAAAAAAUGAUAAUUAUGUGUUUCUAGGUGUGCAUAUUCACGCUUAGGCACGCAUUAGCGGUUUGUUGACUGCUGAAUAAGGUGCCAACCACUUGGCUUAGCAUUUCCAUCAUGCAUCGCGCAUUGAUAGCGCAUGGUCACCUUUUAGAAUAGUUGAUAUGAGUGAAAAUAUCAUUUACAAUAUUAUAAGCUAAAAUCAUUACUCUGUAAACUGAAUAAACAAAAUUCGAUAGUCUAAAAUCUGACAAACUAUAUAAUACUAAAAAAUCGUACAAAAAAGUACUCGGAAUAACCUUACUCAUGUAUCGGUUAGUACCGAUACAUAUGGAAAAGUUAUUUAAUUCUGAAAUUCUGGUCAUAUGUGCACAGAGCUGCCCGAUGACUAUAAUAUGGUCAUACACUAUAGAAACACAUUCAUAAUAGUAUACAUUGGGUAAAAUUAUCAUAACUAGUCAUACAUUGUGAAAACGUAUUCUCAUCGAUGCAAAGCAGGUAAAAUAAUCAUAUGGGGUCAUACACUGUGGAAACACAUUUACACAAGUGCAAACUAGGGUAAAAUCACCUGAGUCAUUUCUGAUGGUUUUAAAAAUAACUUUAAAUAUGCUGAAAUAUUUAAAAUUGAAAUAAUGAGCCAAUGAAAUGGUUUAACUGAAUUGAAUUUAACUUUUAGAAGAAUUACUUAUUAAAAAAAUAACUUUAUUAUGAAAAUAACAUUUUCUAAAUCAAUCAUCUGAAAUUACUAACUUUUGCAGUUUAUAUGAUUUACUAGAAGAAAUCUAAAGAACAAUUUUCUUCGUCUAAGCUUGAGAACUAAUAUAAUUUAAAUAAAUGCUUAUUUUCGAAAAGUAGAUAACCAGUCACUCAAGACAAGCUACAGGCUAUGAAGGUCAAUAAGUUUUUCUAAGCUUUUAAGCCACUACUUGAAAUAAAGAUAUAAUUACUCAAAUUAAAAUCUUGACAAUUAAAUUAAUACAAAUCUUCUACUUAACUCCUCAACUUUUAUAUUUACUCUUGCAUAUCCAUUUCACCCGCUUUUCUGCUCUUUGAUUAUUUACCAACCAAUUAUCACACAUAAUCAAAUCAAUUUAAUUACUAUUCUUUGUUAAAAUCACUAACUUGUACAUAUACAACAACUCCUACACAUAACUUAAUCCAUUACCUAGGUUUCAAAUUUGUAACAUUUGAGAAAAACAAAUAUUUAACCAAAAUAACACUAAAAUUUCAGAUUAUUGAAAUAUGGCAUCUGUUUUGUGUAUUUUGAAAUUUAUCACCGACCAUUGACAGAAAUAGCACUUCUCUUGCAUAAUUUCGAAAAUAGCACCUGUCUUCCAAUAGAUUGAAAAUUGCUUUUUUUUUUUUUUUUAAAAAAAAAAUGGAGAAAUCAAAUCCCAAGUCCUUAAUUUUAAGUAUUUAACAUCAUAUAAUCACAAGAAUGUCAAAGAACAUGUCUUUAUUUCAUAAACUCAUUUUCAAAGUUUCACUUUCUUCAACUUCAAUAUUCAAAUAUACAUAUUUCUUAGCUAUAUUCUUAAUUAUAACCUCAAAUACAUAUCAAUAAUACCUAAUUCUAGCUAAGCUUUGAAUUGAAACAAAAUUCACAUAAACCCUAAAAAAUUUAAUUCAAUAUACUUAUCCUUACCUCUUUAAAUCAAAUGAGAAAUUGAAAAAAUAAAGCACCCAAUCUUGAAAAUCCACUUCUUCUUCUUCUUUUCCUCUUCCUUUUCUCUAUUUCCUCCCUUCUCUUUUCUUCUCUCUGCCUCUAUUCUCUCUCUCUCUCUCUUUUUUUUUC
RNAcentral lists this long non-coding RNA (3568 nucleotides) under Olea europaea (common olive). RNAcentral's name for it is "long non-coding RNA (OEUR_LNC009960)". The record is from RNAcentral. Lineage: Eukaryota; Viridiplantae; Streptophyta; Magnoliopsida; Lamiales; Oleaceae.